Molecule: transfer RNA, 74 nt
Filed under: Streptomyces hygroscopicus subsp. jinggangensis 5008
Lineage: Bacteria; Bacillati; Actinomycetota; Actinomycetes; Kitasatosporales; Streptomycetaceae
Also listed under: 1 other name
Description: tRNA-fMet (CAT) (tRNA-fMet-CAT-2-1)
Rfam family: tRNA
About the family: Transfer RNA (tRNA) molecules are approximately 80 nucleotides in length.
Source: RNAcentral
CGCGGGGUGGAGCAGCUCGGUAGCUCGCUGGGCUCAUAACCCAGAGGUCGCAGGUUCAAAUCAUGUCCCCGCUA